RNAcentral lists this ribosomal RNA (773 nucleotides) under Streptomyces sp. M1-10. RNAcentral's name for it is "bacterial SSU rRNA". It matches the Rfam family "Bacterial small subunit ribosomal RNA", at positions 46 to 833 of the family's 1533-position model. Lineage: Bacteria; Bacillati; Actinomycetota; Actinomycetes; Kitasatosporales; Streptomycetaceae. The record is from RNAcentral.
GUUCUUACACAUGCAAGUCGAACGAUGAACCGCUUUCGGGCGGGGAUUAGUGGCGAACGGGUGAGUAACACGUGGGCAAUCUGCCCUGCACUCUGGGACAAGCCCUGGAAACGGGGUCUAAUACCGGAUAUGACUGUCCAUCGCAUGGUGGAUGGUGUAAAGCUCCGGCGGUGCAGGAUGAGCCCGCGGCCUAUCAGCUUGUUGGUGAGGUAGUGGCUCACCAAGGCGACGACGGGUAGCCGGCCUGAGAGGGCGACCGGCCACACUGGGACUGAGACACGGCCCAGACUCCUACGGGAGGCAGCAGUGGGGAAUAUUGCACAAUGGGCGAAAGCCUGAUGCAGCGACGCCGCGUGAGGGAUGACGGCCUUCGGGUUGUAAACCUCUUUCAGCAGGGAAGAAGCGAAAGUGACGGUACCUGCAGAAGAAGCGCCGGCUAACUACGUGCCAGCAGCCGCGGUAAUACGUAGGGCGCAAGCGUUGUCCGGAAUUAUUGGGCGUAAAGAGCUCGUAGGCGGCUUGUCACGUCGGUUGUGAAAGCCCGGGGCUUAACCCCGGGUCUGCAGUCGAUACGGGCAGGCUAGAGUUCGGUAGGGGAGAUCGGAAUUCCUGGUGUAGCGGUGAAAUGCGCAGAUAUCAGGAGGAACACCGGUGGCGAAGGCGGAUCUCUGGGCCGAUACUGACGCUGAGGAGCGAAAGCGUGGGGAGCGAACAGGAUUAGAUACCCUGGUAGUCCACGCCGUAAACGGUGGGCACUAGGUGUGGGCAACAUU